UUGUCUCAAAGAUUAAGCCAUGCAUGUCUCAGUACAAGCCGAAUUAAGGUGAAACCGCGAAAGGCUCAUUAAAUCAGUUAUGGUUCCUUAGAUCGUACCCACAUUUACUUGGAUAACUGUGGUAAUUCUAGAGCUAAUACAUGCAAACAGAGCUCCGACCGGAAACGGAAGGAGCGCUUUUAUUAGAUCAAAACCAAUCGGUGGCGGUUUCCGUCAUCGUACAACUUGGUGACUCUGAAUAACUUUACGCUGAUCGCACGGUCUCGCACCGGCGACGCAUCUUUCAAAUGUCUGCCUUAUCAACUGUCGAUGGUAGGUUCUGCGCCUACCAUGGUUGUAACGGGUAACGGGGAAUCAGGGUUCGAUUCCGGAGAGGGAGCCUGAGAAACGGCUACCACAUCCAAGGAAGGCAGCAGGCGCGCAAAUUACCCACUCCCGGCACGGGGAGGUAGUGACGAAAAAUAACGAUACGGGACUCAUCCGAGGCCCCGUAAUCGGAAUGAGUACACUCUAAAUCCUUUAACGAGGAUCAAUUGGAGGGCAAGUCUGGUGCCAGCAGCCGCGGUAAUUCCAGCUCCAAUAGCGUAUAUUAAAGUUGUUGCGGUUAAAAAGCUCGUAGUCGAAUCUGUGUCCCGCGCCGCCGGUUCAUCGUUCGCGGUGUCAACUGGCGAGCCGCGGGACGUCCUGCCGGUGGGCUUAGCUCGAGAGGGCGGCCCAACUCAAUCCCGCCGCGGUGCUCUUCAUUGAGUGUCGAGGUGGGCCGGCACGUUUACUUUGAACAAAUUAGAGUGCUUAAAGCAGGCUAAAACUUUGCCUGAAUACUGUGUGCAUGGAAUAAUGGAAUAGGACCUCGGUUCUAUUUUGUUGGUUUUCGGAACCCCGAGGUAAUGAUUAAUAGGAACGGAUGGGGGCAUUCGUAUUGCGACGUUAGAGGUGAAAUUCUUGGAUCGUCGCACGACGGACAG
This 965-nucleotide ribosomal RNA is filed under the name Tenebrionidae sp. COL189. Its description in RNAcentral is "SSU rRNA". It matches the Rfam family "Eukaryotic small subunit ribosomal RNA", at positions 32 to 942 of the family's 1831-position model. The record is from RNAcentral. Lineage: Eukaryota; Metazoa; Arthropoda; Insecta; Coleoptera; Tenebrionidae.